This 253-nucleotide ribosomal RNA is filed under the name uncultured bacterium. RNAcentral's name for it is "partial 16S ribosomal RNA". It matches the Rfam family "Bacterial small subunit ribosomal RNA", at positions 524 to 776 of the family's 1533-position model. The record is from RNAcentral.
UACGAAGGGGGCUAGCGUUGCUCGGAAUCACUGGGCGUAAAGCGCACGUAGGCGGAUUGCUAAGUCAUGGGUGAAAUCCUGGAGCUCAACUCCAGAACUGCCUUUGAUACUGGCGAUCUCGAGUUCGGGAGAGGUGAGUGGAACUGCGAGUGUAGAGGUGAAAUUCGUAGAUAUUCGCAAGAACACCAGUGGCGAAGGCGGCUCACUGGCCCGAUACUGACGCUGAGGUGCGAAAGCGUGGGGAGCAAACAGG